CCCCCUUCUGGGGUCAUGUGACAGGCGGCGCGCCAAGAUGGCGGCGUCCUGCGAGGAGUUGCAGUAGCAUGGAAGGGAAUUCUUCCUAAUGGCCACCUGAGCACAUUGUGACUCUGAGAUUCUGCAGCCUGAGGUGGUGCCUUUGGCUUCCAUCACGUGGAAGGUGAAUGCGUGGCGGGAAGACUCCGAGC
Malurus melanocephalus (red-backed fairy wren) is the source of this 191-nucleotide long non-coding RNA. RefSeq lists it as uncharacterized. Lineage: Eukaryota; Metazoa; Chordata; Aves; Passeriformes; Maluridae. The record is from RefSeq and is a predicted model, not a curated record. The transcript has 3 exons.